UACAGAGGUCUCAAGCGUUGUUCGGAUUCAUUGGGCGUAAAGGGUGCGUAGGUGGCGCUGUAAGUCAGGUGUGAAAUUUCGGAGCUUAACUCCGAAACUGCAUUUGAUACUGCGGUGCUUGAGGACUGGAGAGGAGACUGGAAUUCACGGUGUAGCAGUGAAAUGCGUAGAUAUCGUGAGGAAGACCAGUGGCGAAGGCGGAUCUCUGGACAGUUCCUGACGCUGAGGCGCGAAGGCCAGGGGAGCAAACGGG
Molecule: ribosomal RNA, 253 nt
Filed under: uncultured bacterium
Lineage: Bacteria
Description: partial 16S ribosomal RNA
Rfam family: Bacterial small subunit ribosomal RNA
Source: RNAcentral